AACGAACGCUGGCGGCAUGCCUAACACAUGCAAGUCGAACGAGACCUUCGGGUCUAGUGGCGCACGGGUGCGUAACGCGUGGGAACCUGCCUUUAGGUUCGGAAUAACUCAGAGAAAUUUGAGCUAAUACCGGAUAAUGUCUUCGGACCAAAGAUUUAUCGCCUUUAGAUGGGCCCGCGUUGGAUUAGCUAGUUGGUGGGGUAAAGGCCUACCAAGGCGACGAUCCAUAGCCGGUCUGAGAGGAUGAUCAGCCACACUGGGACUGAGACACGGCCCAGACUCCUACGGGAGGCAGCAGUGGGGAAUAUUGGACAAAUGGGCGAAAGCCUGAUCCAGCAAUGCCGCGUGAGUGAUGAAGGCC
RNAcentral lists this ribosomal RNA (361 nucleotides) under uncultured bacterium. Its description in RNAcentral is "bacterial SSU rRNA". It matches the Rfam family "Bacterial small subunit ribosomal RNA", at positions 29 to 416 of the family's 1533-position model. The record is from RNAcentral.